UCUUUGUGUCUCUUUCCUCCCACUCUCUCA
RNAcentral lists this non-coding RNA (30 nucleotides) under Mus musculus (house mouse). Lineage: Eukaryota; Metazoa; Chordata; Mammalia; Rodentia; Muridae. The record is from RNAcentral.